RNAcentral lists this ribosomal RNA (457 nucleotides) under uncultured bacterium. RNAcentral's name for it is "bacterial SSU rRNA". It matches the Rfam family "Bacterial small subunit ribosomal RNA", at positions 57 to 507 of the family's 1533-position model. The record is from RNAcentral.
GCAAGUCGAACGAAGCACCUUAAUUGAUUUACUUCGGAAUGAAGUUAUUGUGACUGAGUGGCGGACGGGUGAGUAACACGUGAGCAACCUGCCUUUCAGAGGGGGGAUAACGUUUGGAAACGAACGCUAAUACCGCAUGAAAUAUUCUUGUGGCAUCACAGGGAUAUCAAAGGAGCAAUCCGCUGAGAGAUGGGCUCGCGGCCGAUUAGAUGGUUGGCGGGGUAACGGCCCACCAAGUCGACGAUCGGUAGCCGGACUGAGAGGUUGAACGGCCACAUUGGGACUGAGACACGGCCCAGACUCCUACGGGAGGCAGCAGUGGGGAAUAUUAGGCAAUGGGCGAAAGCCUGACCUAGCGACGCCGCGUGAGGGAAGACGGUCUUCGGAUUGUAAACCUCUGUCUUCAGGGACGAAGAAGAUGACGGUACCUGAAGAGGAAGCCACGGCUAACUACGUG